CCGUGGGCGCUGGAGAAUUGAGGGGGGCUGCUCCUAGUACGAGAGGACCGGAGUGGACGCAUCACUGGUGUUCGGGUUGUCAUGCCAAUGGCACUGCCCGGUAGCUAAAUGCGGAAGAGAUAAGUGCUGAAAGCAUCUAAGCACGAAACUUGCCCCGAGAUGAGUUCUCCCUGAGACUUUAAGUCUCCUGAAGGAACGUUGAAGACGACGACGUUGAUAGGCCGGGUGUGUAAGCGCAGCGAUGCGUUGAGCUAACCGGUACUAAUGAACCGUGAGGCUUAACCUU
Molecule: ribosomal RNA, 286 nt
Filed under: Acinetobacter baumannii
Lineage: Bacteria; Pseudomonadati; Pseudomonadota; Gammaproteobacteria; Moraxellales; Moraxellaceae
Also listed under: 1 other name
Description: partial 23S ribosomal RNA
Rfam family: Bacterial large subunit ribosomal RNA
Source: RNAcentral